Molecule: ribosomal RNA, 465 nt
Filed under: uncultured bacterium
Lineage: Bacteria
Description: partial 16S ribosomal RNA
Rfam family: Bacterial small subunit ribosomal RNA
Source: RNAcentral
CCUACGGGAGGCAGCAGUAGGGAAUUUUCGUCAAUGGGCGCAAGCCUGAACGAGCGAUGCCGCGUGAGUGAAGAAGGCCUUCGGGUCGUAAAGCUCUGUUGCGGGGGAAAAAAGGCAGCAUCAGGAAAUGGGUGCUGACUGAUGGUGCCCCGCCAGAAAGUCACGGCUAACUACGUGCCAGCAGCCGCGGUAAUACGUAGGUGGCGAGCGUUAUCCGGAAUGGUUGGGCGUAAAGGGUGCGCAGGCGGUCCUGCAAGUCUGGAGUGAAACGCAUGAGCUCAACUCAUGCAUGGCUUUGGAAACUGGAGGACUGGAGAGCAGGAGAGGGCGGUGGAACUCGAUGUGUAGCGGUAAAAUGCGUAGAUAUAUGGAAGAACACCAGUGGCGAAGGCGGCCGCCUGGCCUGUUGCUGACGCUGAGGCACGAAAGCGUGGGGAGCAAAUAGGAUUAGAUACCCCGGUAGUC